UGGAGUUUUGUAAGUGAGCCCAGAAUACAGGUAAGUGCCCUUUCUUUUCUGCUUUGGUUUAGUAACUAUGUAGCCAAGCUCUCUGGUAUACUUCAUAGCUAUAGCAUCUGUACACUCACUGUGACUAGGCUUCCUUCCAAAGGGAGAUAUGUGAAUGGAAGCUGUUUAAAUAGCACAAACACAAUAGGAUAUGAUGGGUGUGCUAAAUGUUUUCACAUCCUACAGAAAAAGACUGGCUUUAACAACUUUUACAAUGAAUAUGAGGAAGGAUUCUGAAGGCACAACUAUCUAUCCCUUCUUUGUUUGAAGGUGAAAUACUUAGUAACUUAUUGUUUACAAUGACGGAAUUAUUGUCCCUGCUUUAGGCUCAGUCUUUAGAAGAAUUGCUCUCAUCUUAUGUUUCAUCUUUUUCCCUGCCGUAAUUUAGCCAACUUUCUGUUCCAAUAUCCUAUACGUUCUGAUGGUCCUUUGUCUGAUUCUGGAGAAAUACGCCAUACCAAACUGAUUCAAUUAUUUGUCCUUACUUCUGGAUAUGGCAGCAGACUGAAAGAAUGAUUCUCCUUGCUGUUGAGAAAGCCACUUCCUGCUAGAAUAGAACAUUGCUUAUUAAGGGUAUGACUCAUCGUGAUGCACUUUUAUUGAAAUACUGCCAAACAACGCAGUUUCAUCAAACUACGUUAAGCUGUUGCCUUGGCAAACCAGAUUGAGACAUGCUAGGAUUAAUACCUUUUCCCAAGCUUUAAUGUUGUGUUCCCUAGCCAAAGGGUAACUGACAAUUUUUUACCCUGUUGUAUUUCAAGAAGAUGGUUCUAUAACAAGUUACCUGUGGUACAUGGUCAGUAUAGCGAAAAAAUAACCCUUCUGACCUCUGAAUCAUAGCUGAAAGUUUUUUAAACUAAACUUGCUAACUUUGCACUCCAGCAAAUUGUGAUUUCUCACUUGAUUUCUUCAGCUGGAUCACCUACCACUUCUGCACUGAAUAAGCAAUUACAAAAGAGAUGAUGAAUGGAAACUUCUUAAAUCUCUCCACCUGUGCCAGAAUGUCAAGUGAAUAGAUUCCAGCCAUAACAUUUAUGGCUUGAGCUACUGAGUGUAUGAUUGCUGUGAUAUAUCCUGGGGCAACCUAUUUGCUAAAAAUACUCAUGAUUCCUACAGACAUUCCUACACAGAUUCACAAAAGCUCCAUAUUGAUUACUGCUUUCUUUCUUUUACUGACCAUGUCCCUGUUAAUCACCUUUUACAUUAGUUGUAUUGCCAGUAAAUAUGUUUAUGAUGUUUGGGUAGGUUUUCUGUGAUAUUUUUAAUAUUCUAACAAAUCUUAAUGCAUUUCUCAAGUGGCACAGGUAUGAACAUGCAAUAUAAAAGUUGGUUUAAGCAUAAGCAGUUAGGUAGGUAAUACUGAACUAGAUGAAAAUGAUGUUAUCAUAGCGUAACUCAUGUGUUGCAGUUGUCAUUCAUGAUAAGCUCACUCUCUCCCUUUCUCCUUCCCCUCAACAUCCAGAGGAGCAAGCACCAUGAUCAAGCCUGACAUGAGCUCAGCAGAGCCACUGGACAGGAAAGUGAUGCUCGCUUCCAGCUGAGGAGUACCGAGGAGAGUUUGAUCAAGGUGUGUCUAGACUCAUCCCAGCUGAGCUCUAGGUGGCUGCAUGGCUGUCUCACCAACCUGCCCUUUGAAAGCAACACCUUGCUUCCCCUUAUCUGAAAUGGAGCUGGUGACAAUUGGUUAUCUCACAGGAUGAGCUGAAAUGGGUGCAUUCAGAUGUCUUCUGGUCAAGAAGAGGAGAAAGACCCCCGCUGCAGACACAUUGCACAGGAACACAGCAGAACCUGCAUACCGACCUCAAUUAUAUUUCCCGCGCUGGGUGCAAGAUUGGAUUUAGAAAACGUGAGUGGUGAGCAGGGGCAAUCGCUCAGUCCUGCAGUACAGGUGCCUGGGUAGAGCCCGCCGUGCCCAUCUCCAGAGCCAGACAGCACCCCACAGGCACCAUGCUUCCACCCAGCACGGGCAACGCAGCACCCAGCACGCUUCCCAGGUACCUUGCAGCUUCUGGCCGUACUCUGUCCUGUCCGACUGACUCCUGCGCAAGGCACCGUGCUCCCCUGCCCCGCUGCUCUCUACCACGGGCUCCGUCCUCCUCCUCUCCCCCAUGUACAGCCUGUGCCGCAGCAGGGCCAAAUUCUUCCUCCGGCCCCCUAUGCCGUCCGUGCUCGCCAUGGCCAGGCUGGCCAGGGAUGAGGGGUGAUCUUGGGCAGGCAGCUCACUGCUCAGG
Molecule: long non-coding RNA, 2270 nt
Organism: Centrocercus urophasianus (Greater sage-grouse)
Lineage: Eukaryota; Metazoa; Chordata; Aves; Galliformes; Phasianidae
Exons: 3
Source: RefSeq, a predicted model, not a curated record